UGGGGAAUAUUGGACAAUGGGCGCAAGCCUGAUCCAGCCAUGCCGCGUGAGUGAUGAAGGCCUUAGGGUUGUAAAGCUCUUUUGUCCGGGAAGAUAAUGACUGUACCGGAAGAAUAAGCCCCGGCUAACUUCGUGCCAGCAGCCGCGGUAAUACGAAGGGGGCUAGCGUUGCUCGGAAUCACUGGGCGUAAAGGGCGCGUAGGCGGACUUUUAAGUCGGAGGUGAAAGCCCAGGGCUCAACCCUGGAAUU
RNAcentral lists this ribosomal RNA (250 nucleotides) under uncultured bacterium. Its description in RNAcentral is "partial 16S ribosomal RNA". It matches the Rfam family "Bacterial small subunit ribosomal RNA", at positions 355 to 622 of the family's 1533-position model. The record is from RNAcentral.